UACGAGGGGGGCAACUGUUGUUCGGAAUCACUGGGCGUAAAGGGAGCGUAGGCGGGUUUCUAAGUCAGGUGUUUAAUCCCGGGGCCCAACCCCGGACAGGCACUUGAAACUGGGAAUCUUGAAUAGUGGAGAGGUCAGUGGAAUUGGGGGUGUAGCGGCGGAAUGCGUAGAGAUCCCCAAGAACACCAGUUGCGAAGGCGGCUGACUGGACACAUAUUGACGCUGAGGCUCGAAAGCAUGGGGAGCAAACAGG
Molecule: ribosomal RNA, 253 nt
Filed under: uncultured bacterium
Lineage: Bacteria
Description: partial 16S ribosomal RNA
Rfam family: Bacterial small subunit ribosomal RNA
Source: RNAcentral